Molecule: ribosomal RNA, 253 nt
Filed under: uncultured bacterium
Lineage: Bacteria
Description: partial 16S ribosomal RNA
Rfam family: Bacterial small subunit ribosomal RNA
Source: RNAcentral
UACAGAGGUCUCAAGCGUUGUUCGGAUUCAUUGGGCGUAAAGGGUGUGUAGGUGGCGCGCUAAGUCGGGUGUGAAAUUUCGGAGCUUAACUCCGAAACUGCAUUCGAUACUGGCGUGCUUGAGGACUGGAGAGGAGACUGGAAUUCAUGGUGUAGCGGUGAAAUGCGUAGAUAUCGUAAGGAAGACCAGUGGCGAAGGCGGGUCUCUGGACAGUUCCUGACGCUGAGGCACGAAGGCCAGGGGAGCAAACGGG